AUGCAAGUCGAACGCUGAAGCCUGGUGCUUGCACCGGGUGGAUGAGUGGCGAACGGGUGAGUAACACGUGAGUAACCUGCCCCUGACUUCGGGAUAAGCCCGGGAAACUGGGUCUAAUACCGGAUACGACUGCCGGACGCAUGUCUGGUGGUGGAAAGUUUUUUCGGUUGGGGAUGGGCUCGCGGCCUAUCAGUUUGUUGGUGAGGUAAUGGCUCACCAAGACGACGACGGGUAGCCGGCCUGAGAGGGCGACCGGCCACACUGGGACUGAGACACGGCCCAGACUCCUACGGGAGGCAGCAGUGGGGAAUAUUGCACAAUGGGGGAAACCCUGAUACAGCGACGCAGCGUGCGGGAUGACGGCCUUCGGGUUGUAAACCGCUUUCAGCAGGGAAGAAGCGCAAGUGACGGUACCUGCAGAAGAAGUACCGGCUAACUACGUGCCAGCAGCCGCGGUAAUACGUAGGGUACGAGCGUUGUCCGGAAUUAUUGGGCGUAAAGAGCUCGUAGGUGGUUGGUCACGUCUGCUGUGGAAACGCAACGCUUAACGUUGCGCGUGCAGUGGGUACGGGCUGACUAGAGUGCAGUAGGGGAGUCUGGAAUUCCUGGUGUAGCGGUGAAAUGCGCAGAUAUCAGGAGGAACACCGGUGGCGAAGGCGGGACUCUGGGCUGUAACUGACACUGAGGAGCGAAAGCAUG
Molecule: ribosomal RNA, 699 nt
Filed under: uncultured bacterium
Lineage: Bacteria
Description: bacterial SSU rRNA
Rfam family: Bacterial small subunit ribosomal RNA
Source: RNAcentral